This 301-nucleotide ribosomal RNA is filed under the name uncultured bacterium. RNAcentral's name for it is "partial 16S ribosomal RNA". It matches the Rfam family "Bacterial small subunit ribosomal RNA", at positions 509 to 808 of the family's 1533-position model. The record is from RNAcentral.
CAGCAGCCGCGGGAAUACGUAGGUGGCAAGCGUUGUCCGGAAUUAUUGGGCGUAAAGCGCGCGCAGGCGGAUAGGUCAGUCUGUCUUAAAAGUUCGGGGCUUAACCCCGUGAUGAGAUGGAAACUGCCAAUCUAGAGUAUCGGAGAGGAAAGUGGAAUUCCUAGUGUAGCGGUGAAAUGCGUAGAUAUUAGGAAGAACACCAGUGGCGAAGGCGACUUCCUGGACGAAAACUGACGCUGAGGCGCGAAAGCCAGGGGAGCGAACGGGAUUAGAUACCCCCGUAGUCCCUGUCUCUUAUACC